This 75-nucleotide transfer RNA is filed under the name Citrobacter freundii. RNAcentral describes it as "tRNA-Val". It matches the Rfam family "tRNA". From Rfam's summary of the family: Transfer RNA (tRNA) molecules are approximately 80 nucleotides in length. Their secondary structure includes four short double-helical elements and three loops (D, anti-codon, and T loops). Further hydrogen bonds mediate the characteristic L-shaped molecular structure. tRNAs have two regions of fundamental functional importance: the anti-codon, which is responsible for specific mRNA codon recognition, and the 3' end, to which the tRNAs corresponding amino acid is attached (by aminoacyl-tRNA synthetases). tRNAs cope with the degeneracy of the genetic code in two manners: having more than one tRNA (with a specific anti-codon) for a particular amino acid; and 'wobble' base-pairing, i.e. permitting non-standard base-pairing at the 3rd anti-codon position. The record is from RNAcentral. Lineage: Bacteria; Pseudomonadati; Pseudomonadota; Gammaproteobacteria; Enterobacterales; Enterobacteriaceae. RNAcentral also lists the same sequence under 2 other names.
GGGACGUUAGCUCAGUUGGUUUAGAGCACUACUUUGACAGAGUAGGGGUCACUGGUUCGAGUCCAGUACGUCCCA